This 337-nucleotide small nuclear RNA is filed under the name Castor canadensis (American beaver). RNAcentral describes it as "7SK RNA (ENSCCNG00000025854.1)". It matches the Rfam family "7SK RNA". Rfam says of the family: 7SK was discovered as an abundant small nuclear RNA in the mid-70s but a possible function has only recently been suggested. Two independent studies have found that 7SK RNA binds the CDK9/cyclin T complex (known as elongation factor P-TEFb). The record is from RNAcentral. Lineage: Eukaryota; Metazoa; Chordata; Mammalia; Rodentia; Castoridae.
GGAUGUGAGGGCGAUCUGGCUGCGACAUCUGUCACCCCAUUGAUCGCCAGGGUUGAUUCGGCUGAUCUGGCUGGCUAGGCGGGUGUCCCCUUCCUCCCUCACCGCUCCAUGUGUGGUCCCUCCUGAAGCUGCGCGCUCGGUCGAAGAGGACGACCAUCCCUGAUAGAGGAGGACCGUUCUUCGGUCAAGGGUAUACGAGUAGCUGCGCUCCCCUGCUAGAACCUCCAAACAAGCUCUCAUAAAUUGAAAUUUAAGUUCAAUUGUGUGCUCUUUUUCCCAGGGUGAACUAGACAGAGCCCUGGCUGGAAGCACAGCUUCACAUUUCCACUAUUUCUCA